AACGAACGCUGGCGGCAGGCCUAACACAUGCAAGUCGAGCGCGCCCUUCGGGGUGAGCGGCGGACGGGUGAGUAACGCGUGGGAACGCGCCCUUUUCUACGGAAUAGCCUCGGGAAACUGAGAGUAAUACCGUAUACGCCCUUUGGGGGAAAGAUUUAUCGGAAAAGGAUCGGCCCGCGUUGGAUUAGGUAGUUGGUGGGGUAAUGGCCUACCAAGCCGACGAUCCAUAGCUGGUUUGAGAGGAUGAUCAGCCACACUGGGACUGAGACACGGCCCAGACUCCUACGGGAGGCAGCAGUGGGGAAUCUUAGACAAUGGGGGCAACCCUGAUCUAGCCAUGCCGCGUGAGUGAUGAAGGCCUUAGGGUUGUAAAGCUCUUUCAGCUGGGAAGAUAAUGACGGUACCAGCAGAAGAAGCCCCGGCUAACUCCGUG
This 433-nucleotide ribosomal RNA is filed under the name uncultured bacterium. RNAcentral's name for it is "partial 16S ribosomal RNA". It matches the Rfam family "Bacterial small subunit ribosomal RNA", at positions 29 to 507 of the family's 1533-position model. The record is from RNAcentral.